This 236-nucleotide ribosomal RNA is filed under the name uncultured bacterium. RNAcentral's name for it is "partial 16S ribosomal RNA". It matches the Rfam family "Bacterial small subunit ribosomal RNA", at positions 15 to 240 of the family's 1533-position model. The record is from RNAcentral.
GAUCCUGGCUCAGGAUGAACGCUAGCUACAGGCUUAACACAUGCAAGUCGAGGGGCAGCAUGAACUUAGCUUGCUAAGUUUGAUGGCGACAGGCGCACGGGUGAGUAACACGUAUCCAACCUUCCGUUUACUCAGGGGAUAGCCUUUCGAAAGAAAAGAUUAAUACCUGAUAGUAUGGUGAGAUUGCAUGAUAGCACCAUUAAAGAUUUAUUGGUAAACGAUGGGGAUGCGUUCCA